GAUGAAGAACUUAGCGAAAUGCGAUAAGUAGUGUGAAUUGCAGAAUUCAGUGAAUCAUCGAAUCUUUGAACGCACAUUGCGCCCUUUGGUAUUCCUUAGGGCAUGCCUGUUCGAGCGUCAUUUAAACCUUCAAGCUAAGCUUGGUGUUGGGUGACUGUCCGCUUCACUGCGGACUCGCCUCAAAAUUAUUGGCGGCCGGUACAUUGGCUUCGAGCGCAGCAGAAACGCGAACUCGGGCCCGUCGUAUUGGCUCCCAGAAGCUAUCUUCACAAUUUUGACCUCGGAUCAGGUAGGGAUACCCGCUGAACUUAAGCAUAUCAAUAAGCGGAGGA
RNAcentral lists this unclassified non-coding RNA (332 nucleotides) under soil metagenome. Its description in RNAcentral is "partial contains 5.8S ribosomal RNA, internal transcribed spacer 2, and large subunit ribosomal RNA". The stretch from base 1 to 120 matches the Rfam family "5.8S ribosomal RNA", at positions 35 to 154 of the family's 154-position model. The record is from RNAcentral.